RNAcentral lists this ribosomal RNA (438 nucleotides) under Arantia congensis. RNAcentral's name for it is "partial large subunit ribosomal RNA". It matches the Rfam family "Archaeal large subunit ribosomal RNA", at positions 1999 to 2641 of the family's 2987-position model. Lineage: Eukaryota; Metazoa; Arthropoda; Insecta; Orthoptera; Tettigoniidae. The record is from RNAcentral.
GUUGAAGGGCCGCGGUAUUAUGACUGUGCGAAGGUAGCGUAAUCAUUAGUCUUUUAAUUAAAGGCUGGAAUGAAUGAUUUGACGAGGUGAUAACUGUCUUACUAUAAUAAAAUGGAAUUUAUCUUUUAAGUUAAAAGACUUAAAUAAAAAUAUAGGACGAGAAGACCCUAUAGAGCUUAAAUAUUUACAUUAAGAUUUUAAUUAAGUUGUAUUAGGAAGUAUUAUAUAUAAGUAUUAUGUUGGGGUGACAAAAAGAUAGGUGGAACUCUUUUAAUUCAGAACAUUAAUUUAUGAUUAUUUGAUCCAUUUUUAGUGAUAAAUAGAAUAAGUUACCUUAGGGAUAACAGCGUAAUGUUCUUUGAGAGUUCAUAUCGACAAGGAAGAUUGCGACCUCGAUGUUGGAUUAAGGAUACUAUAGACGCAGGAGUUNAAUAAGUG